Vanessa tameamea is the source of this 287-nucleotide long non-coding RNA. RefSeq lists it as uncharacterized. The transcript has 2 exons. The record is from RefSeq and is a predicted model, not a curated record. NCBI's taxonomy places the organism in Eukaryota, Metazoa, Arthropoda, Insecta, Lepidoptera, Nymphalidae.
AUAAAACUCCAUCAGGCAAACGCCGAAUAACAUUUUCAAGAUGAAUUCCUACUUGUGGGUAGCUUUGGUAGCGGUGUGUCUAAUCGCGGCCUACAUUCAAUGUCCGCACUGCAAUGCGCACCCGCCGCGACAGUAUUUACCAAACCAUCGUUUUUAAUUUUCGUCAUCAAAUAACAUGACAAAGAACUCAUCGAAAGGCCUAAACUUUCAUAAAUAAAAAAUAAAUAUCGAUCUAUUUCAGUUUAAACGCAAAUUAGGAUGAUAUAAUAUAUUAUUGGGGACUAAAA